UUGCCUUUCCAAACACACAGUUAUAAUUCUAGUCUGCCUGAGGCAUCCAUCGCUCUGAAGGGAAAUCAGGGUCUGCUGCAGAAGGGAUACAAAGAAUAAGACCCAGGUGAUGUUCAGCUUUUGACAUUGAAAAUUCAGCUUUUGCCUAGCCCUGAGUCCUGAAGAGUUUCUCCUAUAUAGUUUUCUAAUAAUUUUUGUCUAAAGUUUUUGUCUAAAAAAUCAGCUGACAAUCCCUAACAAUCAGUUGUUUGCCAGGUGAUUAGCUGCCUCUCUACCUUCCUCGUGGUCCGAUAAACUGCAGGAACGUAUGGAAUCAUUCACACUUAGCUUGUGCUGGGCCAGGCCGCGCAUGUCACCUUGAGUUUCGCUGGCCGCUGACAAGACCUCAAGCUGCCAAGAGCUGCCGCACUAUCCUUCCCCGGCUCCCAUUUUAAUGGAAGGGGUCGCUGGCAGGGCCAGGAGAUUAAGAGCAUGCCCCUUAUUCAGCUUUAUCUCAGCAAGUAUUCAUAGUUUUAGAGUUGCAAGGGACCUUCUCAAAGGGAACAGGCUAAAACCAAGGAAUGUUCAGUGAUUUUUUUCCAAUUUACAGAAUCUUCAGCUUCUGACUCCCAGGCUGAGCUCUUUUCAUUGUCCCCACAAAGCACCAGCCAGUGGACUACUGGUCACUCCUCCUGGCCUGCCGCAGCCUCUGUCCCAUAACAGGGAGCAAACAGCUGUGGCGGCUCAGAGAAUCCGCCAGGUCGUAGCAAUUUAAUCCAGUGCUCUCAUGGGGAUCUGCUGUGAGCAUCUCAUGCAGGGGCUCCGAGCUGCCAGCUUUCCCUCCGAGCUGCCUUCAGCGUCCUGUCCUCGCCCUCACAGCCUGGGAGAUAGGAACAGAAGUACAGCUUGCUACUGGAUAAGAGCACCACCUACUUCGACGAGAGAGGGGAGAUGGCUGAUUUUCCCUCUGCCGGGGGUCCCACUAAAAGCAUAACAGUGGUUACUUGUGGAAGGAGAAGAGGAAUGGAAUUGAUUGCAAAGUGGCAUGAAGAAACUUUUGGAGGUGGUAGAUAUGCCCCCUGGUACAUAGCUGUAUAUUCUUCAUUGUGGGUCCUUCUAGUUGUGGCAUGUGGGAUGCUGCCUCUGCGUGGUCUGAUGAGCAGUGCCAUGUCCACGCCCAGGAUUCGAACCAACGGAACACUGGGCCACCUGCAACGGAGAGCGCGAACUUAACCACUCGGCCAUGGGGCCAGCCCCUGUAUACUUUUUCAUUUAUUGUAUAUUAAUUAUACCUCAAUAAAGUUUUUUUCAAAAAGAGAUUUAAAUGUCACAUCUAUAAAAUGGAAUGUUUGGCCCUUGUUUGGAUACUGAUCUUAACAGUCCAAUUGUAAAAAAGACACUUGAAUUAAUCAAAAAAGUUGAGUGUGAUCUAGGUGUUAGACGAUAGUAAGGAAAUACUUUUAACUUUGUUUUGUGCC
This 1457-nucleotide long non-coding RNA is filed under the name Equus caballus (horse). RNAcentral describes it as "lncRNA (ENSECAG00000050961.1)". The record is from RNAcentral. Lineage: Eukaryota; Metazoa; Chordata; Mammalia; Perissodactyla; Equidae.